Molecule: long non-coding RNA, 366 nt
Organism: Apis florea (little honeybee)
Lineage: Eukaryota; Metazoa; Arthropoda; Insecta; Hymenoptera; Apidae
Source: RefSeq, a predicted model, not a curated record
AAAAAGUGAUUUCAACAAUGUGCAGUCAAAAAAUAUUCAGUUGGACAAUGUGUCUAUAUUUUUAUUUUCUCAAAUAUCCUGUUUUCUAUUUUCUUGCGAAGUCAACGGUUAAACGGCAAUCAUCAUGGCGGACAUGAAACUGUAGAUUCUUGAAAUAUUUUCUCAAUAUGAUAAACGCAACCAAAUUCAUCGCACAUCUAAACGUGAACAAAGUGAAGGCGAGCAAAAACUGUCCACCUCAAGGAUUCCAAACACGACAACAACUCCUCGCCACGAUAAAUUCUGAAAAUUCGGUGAGCAAGAAUUUUCCAAGAAUUUUCGUCUACCGUCAACAAAGGAAAGGGCAGUGAGUUCGUGCUCGUUUCG